GACGAACGCUGGCGGCGUGCUUAACACAUGCAAGUCGAACGAAGAGCGAUGGAAGCUUGCUUCUAUCAAUCUUAGUGGCGAACGGGUGAGUAACGCGUAAUCAACCUGCCCUUCAGAGGGGGACAACAGUUGGAAACGACUGCUAAUACCGCAUACGAUCUAACCUCGGCAUCGAGGAUAGAUGAAAGGUGGCCUCUACAUGUAAGCUAUCACUGAAGGAGGGGAUUGCGUCUGAUUAGCUAGUUGGAGGGGUAACGGCCCACCAAGGCGAUGAUCAGUAGCCGGUCUGAGAGGAUGAACGGCCACAUUGGGACUGAGACACGGCCCAGACUCCUACGGGAGGCAGCAGUGGGGAAUCUUCCGCAAUGGACGAAAGUCUGACGGAGCAACGCCGCGUGAGUGAUGACGGCCUUCGGGUUGUAAAGCUCUGUUAAUCGGGAUGAAAGGCCUUCUUGCGAAUAGUGAGAAGGAUUGACGGUACCGGAAUAGAAAGCCACGGCUAACUACGUG
RNAcentral lists this ribosomal RNA (510 nucleotides) under uncultured bacterium. RNAcentral describes it as "partial 16S ribosomal RNA". It matches the Rfam family "Bacterial small subunit ribosomal RNA", at positions 28 to 507 of the family's 1533-position model. The record is from RNAcentral.